AUGAGUUUCAAGAGCCACAUGUCUAUGAGACCCUCCUACCUGGACUUAGCUGACUACAGCAGGAGGGACAUGAGAUCUAAGCUGGAGCACACAGCGUCUCUCUCCUGGGAUGUGGAACUGAGAGACACUGAGAUCAGGAGACGGGAGCUGAUUCCUCUUAACGACAGGUCUGGAGCAAAGGAACUGCUGGAGAUAAAAGCAAAUGUCUUAGAAGAGCAAGUGUGACAUGUGGUACGCUAUCAGGAAUAAAUCUCUACCUGCCAAGCUAGACUGUAAGGCAAUCUGGAACCAGUUACUAUACAAACUUGUUUUAUUUCAAAACAGAAUCACCUGACUUACUUUUCUAUUUAUUUCUUGUCUUGAAUUCUUUUGUUGAUAUCAAGAUGCUACUAAUGAAACACAGUGGACCCGAAUUUUCAGGUGAAUUGAGAGAAAGGGGUUUGUAAAAAGGACUUAAAGGGAAAGAGCCCUCAUUUCCUUUAGAUUUUGAAAGGAUGGUGUUAACAGCAGAGGCUGAAAAAGUACCAUGGAAAUUUAGCCUGGGAAGGGAAUGGAAGGGCAGGGAGAGUGAGAGAAGGAGGCAGGGGAGGGAACUGGUGGUGUUCUGAUGCCAAAAACCCCACCCUUAGGAGUUGGCUUAAGGUGUGACAAAUACGCAGUGCGUUAUGCACUGAUGUGCACUGUGGAAUCCCAUACCUGUGGGGCUGCUGUGCGGUGUGUGUGGGGCGCUCAGGCGAAAGGGCACUGGAGAGCAGGCCUGUGCCCACAGAACUUGCUCUCAACUGUGCCACACCCAGGCAGGGACUUUGCGAAAGCCCUGAGGUGACUGACAGGUGAUGGAGGUACGUGGUAGCUGCCUGUGUUUACCAGAUAGUGCCCCAGCACCCUGGCUUUUCCAGGUGCUGGUGUCUUCCCAGGUGAGAAUGCAACAUAAAAAACCCUGGAGAUUCCAGUUGGCAGGGGAAUCCAUACAUCCUCAGUGCAGGCACAAAGACUGCAGGUAGCAGGCCUGUGGUGAAGGGCCAGCAUUUGUAUCAUGGUCUUGACAUUUUCUCACAUACUUGGUGUGUUUUUUUGUUACUGUUUUGUUUUGUUUUUGAGACAGAGUCUCACUGUGUUGCCCCUUUGUUUUUGAGACAGAGUCUCACUGUGUUGCCCCUUUGUUUUUGAGACAGAGUCUGCAGUGCAGUGGGGCUCACUGUAGCCUCCAGCUCCCAGCUCAAGCGGUCUUCUUGCCUCGAGGAGUUGGGACAACAGGCUUACGCCAUCACACUCGGCUAUUUUUUUUUUUUUUAAGUUUUUUUUUUAACUUUUUUUUAACUUUUUAACUAAAAAAAAAACUUUUUUUUAAACUUUUAACUAUUUUUUUUAACUUUUUGUAGAGACAAUUUUUUGUGUUGCACAGGCUGGUAUCAAACUCCUGGACUCAAGUGAUCCUCCUGCCUCAGCCUCCCAAAGUGCUAAGAUUACAGGCAUGAGCCACAGCACCCAGCCUCUCACACACUUUGAUAUACAUGAUCUCAUAACACUCUCCACAGAAACCCAGAAAGGAAGCUGCCAUUUUUCCCAUUCUACACAUGAGGAUGUGGAGGCUCGGUGGCUGGUUGACCUCCUAAGAGCUCUGAGCUGUUCAGCGGAGGAAGUCAGCUGUUCAUCUGACUCUGUGGCAGGGGUCUGAAACUCAAGUGCUCAGGGGAGCAGUGGAGUCAUUUCAGUGAGAGCAGCGGCCUGGAGACCACUCAUCCCAUCCAAAGGGGCAGCCGGUGCUCAGUGCUCGCAGAGUGCUGCCGUCCAAAAAUGCAGGCCCAAAGCUGCUAGAGCCUUCUGUUCUUCAAGAGAAACUACAAUAUAGAUUUUUGUGUGAGAGCGCAAUUUAUUCAAAACAAUUUUUUUUUAACUUUAAAAAAUAAAAAC
Molecule: long non-coding RNA, 1914 nt
Organism: Macaca mulatta (Rhesus monkey)
Lineage: Eukaryota; Metazoa; Chordata; Mammalia; Primates; Cercopithecidae
Source: Ensembl